This is a long non-coding RNA of Patella vulgata (common limpet), 395 nucleotides long. RefSeq lists it as uncharacterized. The record is from RefSeq and is a predicted model, not a curated record. The transcript has 4 exons. Lineage: Eukaryota; Metazoa; Mollusca; Gastropoda; Patellidae.
UGUGAACUAACACGUACACAACAGUUCACUUAAGAUUUAAAUAUAAAUAAGUCUUCUAAUCUGCUAGGUUAUUUGACUAUAGAGCUAACCUACAGAAUACCAGGAUGUUGAAAGUUUUUCUAUUGGCUGUCUGCGUCUCAGUGGCACUAAGUGCUGACCAUAUAUGGAUGACCGUAUUUAAUUCUAUAGACACCAAUCAGGAUAAAAACAUUAGUCAGGCUGAAUUUGAUGUUGCUGUUGUCAACGUUGACGCGAAUGGGGAUGGUAAGGUCCCAGAAGCUGAAUGGUUAGCUGCAUGGACCCAGGCCACUGUUGGAAAUCACCAUCAAGGUGCCACUGAUAAAGCUGGUCGUCUUAUCUUCUCUAAGACAGAUGCAGAUAAAGAUGGUAGUCUA